This 520-nucleotide ribosomal RNA is filed under the name uncultured Glomeromycotina. Its description in RNAcentral is "SSU rRNA". It matches the Rfam family "Eukaryotic small subunit ribosomal RNA", at positions 569 to 1090 of the family's 1831-position model. The record is from RNAcentral. Lineage: Eukaryota; Fungi; Glomeromycota.
AGCAGCCGCGGUAAUUCCAGCUCCAAUAGCGUAUAUUAAAGUUGUUGCAGUUAAAAAGCUCGUAGUUGAAUUUCGGGAUUAGUAAGUUGGUCGUGCCUCUGGUAUGUACUGGCUUUACUGGUUCCUCCUUCUUGAAGAACUGUAAUGUCAUUAAUUUGGUGUUGCAGGGAAACAGGACUGUUACUUUGAAAAAAUUAGAGUGUUUAAAGCAGGCUAACGCUUGAAUACAUUAGCAUGGAAUAAUGAAAUAGGACGUUUGAUCCUAUUUUGUUGGUUUCUAGGAUUGACGUAAUGAUUAAUAGGGAUAGUUGGGGGCAUUAGUAUUCAAUUGUCAGAGGUGAAAUUCUUGGAUUUAUUGAAGACUAACUACUGCGAAAGCAUUUGCCAAGGAUGUUUUCAUUAAUCAAGAACGAAAGUUAGGGGAUCGAAGACGAUCAGAUACCGUCGUAGUCUUAACCAUAAACUAUGCCGACUAGGGAUCGGAUGAUGUUAAUUUUUUAAUGACUCAUUCGGCGCCUUA